RNAcentral lists this ribosomal RNA (253 nucleotides) under uncultured bacterium. RNAcentral's name for it is "partial 16S ribosomal RNA". It matches the Rfam family "Bacterial small subunit ribosomal RNA", at positions 524 to 776 of the family's 1533-position model. The record is from RNAcentral.
UACGUAGGGGGCAAGCGUUGUCCGGAUUUAUUGGGCGUAAAGAGCGUGUAGGCGGUUAGGUAGGUCCGUUGUGAAAACUCGAGGCUUAACCUCGAGCUGUCGGCGGAAACCAUCUGGCUAGAGUCCGGAAGAGGAGAAUGGAAUUCCCGGUGUAGCGGUGAAAUGCGUAGAGAUCGGGAGGAACACCAGAGGCGAAGGCGGCUCGCUGGACAGUUACUGACACUCAACUACGAAAGCGUGGGGAGCAAACAGG